Molecule: ribosomal RNA, 496 nt
Filed under: uncultured bacterium
Lineage: Bacteria
Description: partial 16S ribosomal RNA
Rfam family: Bacterial small subunit ribosomal RNA
Source: RNAcentral
AUGCACGCUGGCGGCGUGCCUAAUACCUGCAAGUCGAGCGAACAGACGAGGAGCUUGCUCCUCUGACGUUAGCGGCGGACGGGUGAGUAACACGUGGAUAACCUACCUAUAAGACUGGGAUAACUUCGGGAAACCGGAGCUAAUACCGGAUAAUAUAUUGAACCGCAUGGUUCAAUAGUGAAAGACGGUUUUGCUGUCACUUAUAGAUGGAUCCGCGCCGCAUUAGCUAGUUGGUAAGGUAACGGCUUACCAAGGCAACGAUGCGUAGCCGACCUGAGAGGGUGAUCGGCCACACUGGAACUGAGACACGGUCCAGACUCCUACGGGAGGCAGCAGUAGGGAAUCUUCCGCAAUGGGCGAAAGCCUGACGGAGCAACGCCGCGUGAGUGAUGAAGGUCUUCGGAUCGUAAAACUCUGUUAGUAGGGAAGAACAAAUGUGUAAGUAACUAUGCACGUCUUGACGGUACCUAAUCAGAAAGCCACGGCUAACUACGUG